This 421-nucleotide ribosomal RNA is filed under the name uncultured archaeon. Its description in RNAcentral is "partial 16S ribosomal RNA". It matches the Rfam family "Archaeal small subunit ribosomal RNA", at positions 323 to 746 of the family's 1478-position model. The record is from RNAcentral.
CUACGGGCGGCACCAGGCGCGAAACCUUUACAAUGCGGGAAACCGUGAUAAGGGAAUCCAAAGUGCUCAAGUUUACUUGGGCUUUUGCCAAGAGCAAAAAUCUUGGCGAAUAAGUGGUGGGUAAGACUGGUGCCAGCCGCCGCGGUAACACCAGCGCCACGAGUGGGAAUCAUGUUUAUUUGGCCUAAAGCGUCCGUAGCCGGUCCUGUAAAUCUUUUGUGAAAUCUUCAGGCUUAACCUGUUGGCGUGCAGAAGACACUGCAGGACUAGGAACCGGGAGGAGUCAGAGGUAUGGGAUGGGGAGCGGUAAAAUGCGAUAAUCCAUCUUAGACCACCUGUGGCGAAGGCGUCUGACUAGAACGGAUUCGACGGUGAGGGACGAAAGCCAGGGGAGCGAUCCGGAUUAGAUACCCGGGUAGUC